RNAcentral lists this small nucleolar RNA (76 nucleotides) under Castor canadensis (American beaver). RNAcentral's name for it is "Small nucleolar RNA SNORA51 (ENSCCNG00000029763.1)". It matches the Rfam family "Small nucleolar RNA SNORA51". From Rfam's summary of the family: ACA51 is a member of the H/ACA class of snoRNA that guide the sites of modification of uridines to pseudouridines. Lineage: Eukaryota; Metazoa; Chordata; Mammalia; Rodentia; Castoridae. The record is from RNAcentral.
GGCCUUCUGGUGCUUACCACACACUGCGUUCUUACACUGACUGUAUAGAAAGAAGAGGCAAGUAAAGUAAAAAUUA